RNAcentral lists this ribosomal RNA (253 nucleotides) under uncultured bacterium. RNAcentral describes it as "partial 16S ribosomal RNA". It matches the Rfam family "Bacterial small subunit ribosomal RNA", at positions 524 to 776 of the family's 1533-position model. The record is from RNAcentral.
UACGGGGGGGGCAAGCGUUGUUCGGAAUUACUGGGCGUAAAGGGCUCGUAGGUGGUCAACUAAGUCGGACGUGAAAUCCCUCGGCUUAACCAGGGAACUGCGUCCGAUACUGGAUGACUUGAAUCCGGGAGAGGGAUGCGGAAUUCCAGGUGUAGCGGUGAAAUGCGUAGAUAUCUGGAGGAACACCGGUGGCGAAGGCGGCAUCCUGGGCCGGUACUGACGCUGAGGAGCGAAAGCGUGGGGAGCAAACAGG